Molecule: ribosomal RNA, 253 nt
Filed under: uncultured bacterium
Lineage: Bacteria
Description: partial 16S ribosomal RNA
Rfam family: Bacterial small subunit ribosomal RNA
Source: RNAcentral
GACGGAGGGUGCUAGCGUUGUUCGGAUUUACUGGGCGUAAAGGGCGCGUAGGCGGCCUGAUCAGUCGGGUGUGAAAGCCCGGGGCUCAACCCCGGAACGGCACCCGAGACGGUCAGGCUGGAGACCGGGAGAGGAGGGUGGAAUAGCCAGUGUAGAGGUGAAAUUCGUAGAUAUUGGCUGGAACACCGGUGGCGAAAGCGGCUCUCUGGCCCGGUUCUGACGCUGAGGCGCGAAAGCGUGGGGAGCAAACAGG